UACAGAGGAUGCAAGCGUUAUCCGGAAUGAUUGGGCGUAAAGCGUCUGUAGGUGGCUUUUUAAGUCCGCCGUCAAAUCCCAGGGCUCAACUCUGGACAGGCGGUGGAAACUACCAAGCUGGAGUACGGUAGGGGCAGAGGGAAUUUCCGGUGGAGCGGUGAAAUGCGCAGAUAUCAGGAGGAACACCGGUGGCGAAGGCGGGUCUCUGGGCUGAAACUGACGCUGAGGAGCGAAAGCGUGGGGAGCGAACAGG
Molecule: ribosomal RNA, 253 nt
Filed under: uncultured bacterium
Lineage: Bacteria
Description: partial 16S ribosomal RNA
Rfam family: Bacterial small subunit ribosomal RNA
Source: RNAcentral